This 460-nucleotide ribosomal RNA is filed under the name uncultured bacterium. Its description in RNAcentral is "partial 16S ribosomal RNA". It matches the Rfam family "Bacterial small subunit ribosomal RNA", at positions 338 to 795 of the family's 1533-position model. The record is from RNAcentral.
CCUACGGGUGGCAGCAGUGAGGAAUAUUGGUCAAUGGACGAGAGUCUGAACCAGCCAAGUAGCGUGAAGGAUGACUGCCCUAUGGGUUGUAAACUUCUUUUAUAAAGGAAUAAAACGAGGCACGUGUGCCUUUUUGCAUGUACUUUAUGAAUAAGGAUCGGCUAGCUCCGUGCCAGCAGCCGCGGUAAUACGGAGGAUCCGAGCGUUAUCCGGAUUUAUUUGGUUUAAAGGGAGCGUAGAUGGGUUGGUAAGUCAGUUGUGAAAGUUUGCGGCUCAACCGUAAAAUUGCAAUUGAUACUGGCAGUCUUGAGUACAGUUGAGGUAGGCGGAAUUCGUGGUGUAGCGGUGAAAUGCGUAGAUAUCACGAAGAACCCCGAUUGCGAAGGCAGCUUACUAAACUGUGACUGACAUUGAUGCUCGAAAGUGUGGGUAUCAAACAGGAUUAGAUACCCCGGUAGUC